This 253-nucleotide ribosomal RNA is filed under the name uncultured bacterium. Its description in RNAcentral is "partial 16S ribosomal RNA". It matches the Rfam family "Bacterial small subunit ribosomal RNA", at positions 524 to 776 of the family's 1533-position model. The record is from RNAcentral.
GACAGAGGGUGCAAACGUUGUUCGGAAUUACUGGGCGUAAAGCGUGUGUAGGCGGUCUUGUAAGUCGGGUGUGAAAGCCCCGGGCUCAACCCGGGAAGUGCACUCGAAACUGCGAGGCUAGAGUAUCGGAGAGGUUGGUGGAAUUCUCGGUGUAGAGGUGAAAUUCGUAGAUAUCGAGAGGAACACCGGUGGCGAAGGCGGCCAACUGGACGAAUACUGACGCUGAGACACGAAAGCGUGGGGAGCAAACAGG